UAACUCUGGUUUUCCUUCAAUACGCCAAAAUCUUUCGCCUUUUACUAAAGAUUUCCGUGGAGGAGAACACUCGAAUGAGUCUCUAAUUCAAUUUUUCGUCGCCCUGCCUUUAGGCGGGGCA
RNAcentral lists this small nuclear RNA (121 nucleotides) under Pocillopora damicornis (cauliflower coral). RNAcentral describes it as "U5 spliceosomal RNA". It matches the Rfam family "U5 spliceosomal RNA". Rfam says of the family: U5 RNA is a component of both types of known spliceosome. The precise function of this molecule is unknown, though it is known that the 5' loop is required for splice site selection and p220 binding, and that both the 3' stem-loop and the Sm site are important for Sm protein binding and cap methylation. The record is from Rfam by way of RNAcentral. Lineage: Eukaryota; Metazoa; Cnidaria; Anthozoa; Scleractinia; Pocilloporidae.